This 320-nucleotide ribosomal RNA is filed under the name uncultured bacterium. Its description in RNAcentral is "bacterial SSU rRNA". It matches the Rfam family "Bacterial small subunit ribosomal RNA", at positions 29 to 378 of the family's 1533-position model. The record is from RNAcentral.
AACGAACGCUGGCGGCAGGCUUAAUACAUGCAAGUCAAACGGGUGUAGCAAUACACAAGUGGCGCAAGGGUGAGAAACGCGUGGGAAUAUGCCUUUUGGUACGGAACAACCACGGGAAACUGUGGCUAAUACCGUAUGGUCCCUUCGGGUAAGAUUAUCGCCAAAGAGUAGCCCGCGUCAGAUUAGCUAGUUGGUAGGGUAACGGCCUACCAAGGCUACGAUCUGUAGCUGGUCUUAGAGGACGAUCAGCCACACUGGAACUGAGACACGGUCCAGACUCCUACGGGAGGCAGCAGUAGGGAAUAUUGGACAAUGGGGAA